AUUAGUUUGGUGUUAGUACAGUAAGCAUUUUAAUUUUUCGUAUUAAAGGAGUUUCAGGUUGAAUCAACUAAUG
This 73-nucleotide transfer RNA is filed under the name Tetrancistrum nebulosi. RNAcentral describes it as "tRNA-Glu". Lineage: Eukaryota; Metazoa; Platyhelminthes; Monogenea; Dactylogyridea; Ancyrocephalidae. The record is from RNAcentral.